RNAcentral lists this ribosomal RNA (463 nucleotides) under uncultured bacterium. RNAcentral describes it as "partial 16S ribosomal RNA". It matches the Rfam family "Bacterial small subunit ribosomal RNA", at positions 28 to 507 of the family's 1533-position model. The record is from RNAcentral.
GAUGAACGCUGACAGAAUGCUUAACACAUGCAAGUCGAUGGGGAAGUGGUGCUUGCACCAUGGCAACCAUGGCGGACGGGUGAGUAACGCGUAAGGGACUUACCUGCAGGACUGGGAUAACAGGGGGAAACUCCUGACAAGACCGGAUAAUGUCAUGGAGCUGCAUGGCUUUAUGAUGAAAGGAGACGCCUGCGGAGAGCCUUGCGUCCUAUUAGCUAGUUGGUGAGGUAAUGGCUCACCAAGGCGAAGAUAGGUAGCCGGCCUGAGAGGGUGGACGGCCACAAGGGGACUGAGAUACGGCCCUUACUCCUACGGGAGGCAGCAGUGGGGAAUAUUGGACCAUGGGGGCAACCCUGAUCCAGCAAUUCUGUGUGCACGAAGAAGGUUUUCGGAUUGUAAAGUGCUUUCAGCAGGGAAGAAGUAAGUGACGGUACCUGCAGAAGAAGCGACGGCUAAAUACGUG